GAUGAACGCUGGCGGCGUGCUUAACACAUGCAAGUCGAACGAAGCAUUUGCGACAGAUUUUUUCGGAAUGAAGUUGCUUAUGACUGAGUGGCGGACGGGUGAGUAACGCGUGGGUAACCUGCCUUGUACUGGGGGAUAGCAGCUGGAAACGGCUGGUAAUACCGCAUAAGCGCACAAUGUUGCAUGACAUGGUGUGAAAAACUCCGGUGGUAUAAGAUGGACCCGCGUCUGAUUAGCUAGUUGGUGAGAUAACAGCCCACCAAGGCGACGAUCAGUAGCCGACCUGAGAGGGUGACCGGCCACAUUGGGACUGAGACACGGCCCAGACUCCUACGGGAAGCAGCAGUGGGGAAUAUUGCACAAUGGAGGAAACUCUGAUGCAGCGACGCCGCGUGAGUGAAGAGGUAAUUCGUUAUGUAAAGCUCUAUCAGCAGGGAAGAUAGUGACGGUACCUGACUAAGAAGCUCCGGCUAAAUACGUG
RNAcentral lists this ribosomal RNA (481 nucleotides) under uncultured bacterium. Its description in RNAcentral is "partial 16S ribosomal RNA". It matches the Rfam family "Bacterial small subunit ribosomal RNA", at positions 28 to 507 of the family's 1533-position model. The record is from RNAcentral.